Molecule: ribosomal RNA, 463 nt
Filed under: uncultured bacterium
Lineage: Bacteria
Description: partial 16S ribosomal RNA
Rfam family: Bacterial small subunit ribosomal RNA
Source: RNAcentral
GACGAACGCUGGCGGCGUGCCUAACACAUGCAAGUCGAGCGAAUGAAGUUCCUUCGGGAAUGGAUUUAGCGGCGGACGGGUGAGUAACACGUGGGCAACCUGCCUCAUAGAGGGGAAUAGCCUUCCGAAAGGGAGAUUAAUACCGCAUAAGAUUGUAGUAUCGCAUGAUACAGCAAUUAAAGGAGCAAUCCGCUAUGAGAUGGGCCCGCGGCGCAUUAGCUAGUUGGUGAGGUAACGGCUCACCAAGGCCACGAUGCGUAGCCGACCUGAGAGGGUGAUCGGCCACAUUGGGACUGAGACACGGCCCAGACUCCUACGGGAGGCAGCAGUGGGGAAUAUUGCACAAUGGGGGAAACCCUGAUGCAGCAACGCCGCGUGAGUGAUGACGGCCUUCGGGUUGUAAAGCUCUGUCUUCAGGGACGAUAAGACGGUACCUGAGGAGGAAGCCACGGCUAACUACGUG